Molecule: ribosomal RNA, 880 nt
Filed under: Diaporthe eres
Lineage: Eukaryota; Fungi; Ascomycota; Sordariomycetes; Diaporthales; Diaporthaceae
Description: eukaryotic LSU rRNA
Rfam family: Eukaryotic large subunit ribosomal RNA
Source: RNAcentral
GAAACUUAAGCAUAUCAAUAAGCGGAGGAAAAGAAAACAACAGGGAUUGCCCUAGUAACGGCGAGUGAAGCGGCAACAGCUCAAAUUUGAAAUCUGGCCUCGGCCCGAGUUGUAAUUUGCAGAGGAUGCUUCUGGCGCGGUGCCUUCCGAGUUCCCUGGAACGGGACGCCACAGAGGGUGAGAGCCCCGUAUGGUCGGACACCAAGCCUGUGUGAAGCUCCUUCGACGAGUCGAGUAGUUUGGGAAUGCUGCUCUAAAUGGGAGGUAAAUCUCUUCUAAAGCUAAAUACCGGCCAGAGACCGAUAGCGCACAAGUAGAGUGAUCGAAAGAUGAAAAGCACCUUGAAAAGGGGGUUAAAUAGUACGUGAAAUUGUUGAAAGGGAAGCACUUAUGACCAGACUUGGGCCGGGCGGCUCAUCAGGGGUUCUCCCCUGUGCACUCCGCCCGGCACAGGCCAGCAUCGGUUCUCGUGGGGGGAUAAGACCGUCAGGAACGUAGCACCCUCCGGGGUGUGUUAUAGCCUGGCGGACGAUACCCCCGUGGGGACCGAGGUCCGCGCUCCGCAAGGAUGCUGGCGUAAUGGUCAUCAGUGACCCGUCUUGAAACACGGACCAAGGAGUCGUCCAUUAGAGCGAGCGUUUGGGUGUAAAACCCGCACGCGUAAUGAAAGUGAACGCAGGUGAGAGCUUCGGCGCAUCAUCGACCGAUCCUGAUGUUCUCGGAAGGAUUUGAGUAAGAGUUUUAACGGACGGACCCGAAAGACAGUGAACUAUGCUUGUAUAGGGUGAAGCCAGAGGAAACUCUGGUGGAGGCUCGCAGCGGUUCUGACGUGCAAAUCGAUCGUCAAAUAUGAGCAUGGGGGCGAAAGACUAAUCGAUCU